This 329-nucleotide small RNA is filed under the name Drosophila virilis. RNAcentral's name for it is "GJ26694". Lineage: Eukaryota; Metazoa; Arthropoda; Insecta; Diptera; Drosophilidae. The record is from RNAcentral.
UGUCAACAAAUACCAAAUCUGUCUCGUAAUCGUAGUGCGUAGUACGCGAGCAAAAGCUAACGCGAAUAAUUGAAAGCGGAAAAGCAAAGCAAAGCUAAGCUGAAACGUGCAUUGCAUAUUACGAAAUUGCAGCUGCCAGUUGAACAGCCUGCCUGCCUGCGUUUUAAGAGAAAAAAUUUAAAUCCAAGGAAAAGACUAUAUGUACACAUAAUAUGUGCAUAUAUAUAGAAAUAGUCUAAAUUGAAGACAACCCGAAUGCAAGCAGCAUCAGCAGCAGCGGCAGCAACAGCAGCAGCAACAAAAACAGCAUAGGCAAGAACCAAGAAAAA